RNAcentral lists this ribosomal RNA (545 nucleotides) under Clostridioides difficile. RNAcentral describes it as "bacterial SSU rRNA". It matches the Rfam family "Bacterial small subunit ribosomal RNA", at positions 995 to 1533 of the family's 1533-position model. Lineage: Bacteria; Bacillati; Bacillota; Clostridia; Peptostreptococcales; Peptostreptococcaceae. The record is from RNAcentral.
CAUCUCCUUAAUCGGAGAGUUCCCUUCGGGGACAUUGGUGACAGGUGGUGCAUGGUUGUCGUCAGCUCGUGUCGUGAGAUGUUGGGUUAAGUCCCGCAACGAGCGCAACCCUUGUCUUUAGUUGCCAUCAUUAAGUUGGGCACUCUAGAGAGACUGCCAGGGAUAACCUGGAGGAAGGUGGGGAUGACGUCAAAUCAUCAUGCCCCUUAUGCUUAGGGCUACACACGUGCUACAAUGGGUAGUACAGAGGGUUGCCAAGCCGUAAGGUGGAGCUAAUCCCUUAAAGCUACUCUCAGUUCGGAUUGUAGGCUGAAACUCGCCUACAUGAAGCUGGAGUUACUAGUAAUCGCAGAUCAGAAUGCUGCGGUGAAUGCGUUCCCGGGUCUUGUACACACCGCCCGUCACACCACGGGAGUUGGAGACGCCCGAAGCCGAUUAUCUAACCUUUUGGAAGAAGUCGUCGAAGGUGGAAUCAAUAACUGGGGUGAAGUCGUAACAAGGUAGCCGUAUCGGAAGGUGCGGCUGGAUCACCUCCUUUCUAAGGA